AUGGAGGACGGGAGCACCAGCAUCUACCAAUGGAGGAGAAUAAAUACUUUUAUUAACCAAAACAAUAAUCCACUGAUGGAGAACAAGGAAGAUGGAAGACUACCAUCAUCUACCAAUGGAGGAGGAGGAGGAGAAAAAUGCGGGAGCACCAGCAUCCAAAAGUGUCCCAUAAUCAGCCACAGGAGGAGAUAUCAGCAGAGGAAAGAAAGACUAAUAACCAAAACAAUGUAAGCAAAACCUCUCAUUUACACAGAAAGACACUCACAUGUUUAAUGUAUAAAUAGACGUCACGUUUUACUAACGCCUGUAAAAUUUCGGAGAGGAACGCCAACAUCCACUGAUGGAGGAGAAGAAAGAUGGAGGACGGGAGUGCCAGCAUCUACCAAUGGAGGAGAAGAAAUACUUUUAUUAACCAAAACAAUGUAAGUAAAACCUCUCGUUUACACAGAAAGACACUGGACACGUUUAUUGUAAAAAUUUACUUUCUAAUAAUACCUGUAAAAUGUUCGACUUGACCACCAGAAUCCACUGAUGAGAACAAGGAAGAUGGAAGACUACCAUCAUCUACCAAUAGACGAGCAGGAGAAAAAUGGGGGAGCACCAGCAUCCAAGUGUCCCACAAUCAGCCACAGGAGGAGAUAUCAGCAGAGGAAAGAAAGACUAACAACCAAAACAAUGUAAGCAAAACCUCUCAUUUACAAAGAAAGACACUGAUCACAUGUUUAAUGUAUAAAUAGACGUCACGUUUUACUAACACCUGUAAUAUUUUGGAGAGGAACGCCAACAUCCACUGAUGGAGGAGGAGAAGAAAGAUGGAGGGAGUACAUCAUCGACCAAUGGAGGAGCAGGAGAAAAAUGGGGGAGCACCAGCAUCCAAAAGUGUCCCACAAUCAGCCCUAGGAGGAGACGCCAGCAGAGGAAAGAAACAAUAUUAACCAAAACAAUGUAAGUAAAACCUGUCAUUUACACAGAAAGACACUGGACACGUUUAUUGUAAAAAUGCUGCCAUUGGUAAAAAAAAAAAAGAGAAAUAGAUG
This 1037-nucleotide long non-coding RNA is filed under the name Gouania willdenowi (blunt-snouted clingfish). RNAcentral describes it as "lncRNA (ENSGWIG00000009578.1)". The record is from RNAcentral. Lineage: Eukaryota; Metazoa; Chordata; Actinopteri; Blenniiformes; Gobiesocidae.